CUUAUAAAUUAUAAAUAUUUUGAAGGUUAAGUUGGACAAUAAAAAAUUUUGGGAUUUAUUUAUAUAUUUUUGGAAGUUGAGGAUUUACUUGUAUGUUGUAAUUAGAUUUAAGGGACUUUCUUUGCAAUUGAACAUGUGGGACUUUAUAUUCAACCUUUGACCAACAUUUUCUCUCAAAAACCCACACUCACACACACUAAAAAAGGGGCAGCAAGCUGGAAGGGCGAGAAAGAGAGAAAAACUUGGGGAAAAAGGAAGAAAAAAAGAGAAAGAAGGAAGAAAAGAAGAAAAGGGAAGAAGAGGAAGUAAGGUAAGGUUAAUCUCUUCAAGUUUGGGAUGAAUUUUUCCAUUUGUUUCAAGUGAUGAAAUAUGAUUUAUGUUAAAUUUUUAGGAUUUUAACUUGGAGUAAUACAAUGUCAAAUUUAGGUGAUAUAUGUACGAUUUGGUGCUCAAGCUUGGGGAUUAAUUAAGUUUCAGUAGGCAGUAAAAUUUUUGGGGAAACCCUACAAUUCAAUUUUGGAUUUUUGAUUAAUUAAUUGUGGAAAUGAUUAUAUAAAUGGAAUAUUUUACUUGGGAGUUGAUUUUAUGAAACAAAAUGUAUAUUAAAUGGAUGGAAUUAUGGUUACUAGUUUCACUAGAUUGGAGAGUAAAAUUAGUUUUAAACUUGGGAAGAAGGUUUUGUUGAUGAAUUAGUUAUUAGAAAAAGGAUUAGAAAGUGGGAUUAGCUCCAAUUGAUCAAAAGAAUAUUUGGAAAAUUCAUUCGAGCAUCGACCAAUUUUAGUUAAGUAUUAUAGAAGUAGAUCUUAAAGUUUCGUAAUUUAAUAGUGGUUGAUUAGUCAUCUUGUUAUGUAUUUCAGGUGGUGUCGAGGUAUUGAGGAGAUUGGAAGAGCCUACCGACCAUCUUAGAUAGUAGCUGAGUUGAGCACUACUGGGCCAGUUGUUCUAUCGUGUUGAGCCAUAGAUUGUUAAGCAUUGUAUGAAUCAUCUUUUCAGUUUAAUAGUUCAUAUUUUGGGAUAAACACCUCUUUUGGUCAAAAAUUAGUUCUAUGUGUUGGGCAUGCUAUGUUUUGUAUAUAUAUUAUGCAUUUUGGGUACUAUGGUUUAUAAAUUGUUGCAAAAGUCGAAUUGUCAGUGUUGUAUUUGAAUAGAUGAUAUUAUGUGGGUCAGUGUACCCUAUUUUAAACUAUAUAUAACUAUUUGGGAUAUUGAAUUAUAUGUUUCAAGUGGUUUUAGUC
Long non-coding RNA from Olea europaea var. sylvestris, 1235 nucleotides. RefSeq lists it as uncharacterized. The transcript has 2 exons. The record is from RefSeq and is a predicted model, not a curated record. NCBI's taxonomy places the organism in Eukaryota, Viridiplantae, Streptophyta, Magnoliopsida, Lamiales, Oleaceae.